AGAGUUUGAUCCUGGCUCGGAACGAACGCUGGCGGCGUGCCUAAUACAUGCAAGUCGAACGAGAAAGUGGCUUCGGCCAUAAGUACAGUGGCAGACGGGUGAGUAAUACAUAGGUAACUUUCCCUUAAGUUGAGGACAACCUUCCGAAAGGAGGGCUAAUACUGAAUGAGACCACAGUGACAUAAGUCACAGGGGUUAAAGACGGCCUCUAUUUAUAAGCUUUCGCUUAAGGAUAGGCUUAUGCACCAUUAGCUAGUUGGUAGGGUAAUGGCCUACCAAGGCUACGAUGGUUAGCUGAUCUGAGAGGUUGAUCAGCCACACUGGAACUGAGACACGGUCCAGACUCCUACGGGAGGCAGCAGUAGGGAAUAUUGCGCAAUGGAGGAAACUCUGACGCAGCGACGCCGCGUGGGUGACGAAGGCUUUCGGGUCGUAAAGCCCUGUCGGAAGGGACGAAAGACAUGUUGAUAAUACCAACAUGGGAUGACGGUACCUUUAAAGGAAGCACCGGCUAACUACGUGCCAGCAGCCGCGGUAAUACGUAGGGUGCAAGUGUUGUUCGGAAUCAUUGGGCGUAAAGCGUGUGUAGGUGGCUUAUUAAGUCGAUUGUGAAAUCCCUGGGCUCAACCGAGGAAGUGCAGUCGAAACUAGUAGGCUAGAAGAUGGCAGAGGAAGGUGGAAUUCCUAGUGUAGAGGUGAAAUUCGUAGAUAUUAGGAGGAAUACCGGCGGCGAAGGCGGCCUUCUGGACCAUUCUUGACACUGAGACACGAAAGCGUGGGUAGCAAACAGGAUUAGAUACCCUGGUAGUCCACGCCGUAAACGAUGGGCACUAGAUGUUGUAGGAAUUGACCCCUGCAGUGUCGAAGCUAACGCAUUAAGUGCCCCGCCUGGGAAGUACGGUCGCAAGAUUAAAACUCAAAGGAAUUGACGGGGGCCCGCACAAGCGGUGGAGCAUGUGGUUUAAUUCGAUGCAACGCGAGGAACCUUACCUGGAUUUGACAUCCUCGGACAACCCCAGAGAUGGGGCUUGGUAGAAAUACCCCGGGAGACAGGUGCUGCAUGGCUGUCGUCAGCUCGUAUCGUGAGAUGUCGGGUUAAGUCCCUUAACGAGCGCAACCCCUAUCCCUAGUUGCCAUCAUUUAGUUGGGCACUCUACGGAGACUGCCGGUGUUAAACCGGAGGAAGGUGGGGAUGACGUCAAGUCCUCAUGGCCUUUAUAUCCAGGGCUACACACGUGCUACAAUGGCUGAUACAAAGGGUUGCCAACCCGCAAGGGGGAGCUAAUCUCAUAAAGUCAGUCUCAGUUCGGAUUGGAGUCUGCAACUCGACUCCAUGAAGCUGGAAUCGCUAGUAAUCGUAGAUCAGAACGCUACGGUGAAUACGUUCCCGGGCCUUGUACACACCGCCCGUCACACCACGAAAGUUGAUUUCACCAGAAGUCGCUGUGCCAACCGUAAGGAGGUAGGCGCCCAAGGUGAGGUCGAUGAUUGGGGUGAAGUCGUAACAAGGUA
This 1512-nucleotide ribosomal RNA is filed under the name metagenome. Its description in RNAcentral is "bacterial SSU rRNA". It matches the Rfam family "Bacterial small subunit ribosomal RNA". The record is from RNAcentral.